RNAcentral lists this ribosomal RNA (468 nucleotides) under uncultured bacterium. Its description in RNAcentral is "partial 16S ribosomal RNA". It matches the Rfam family "Bacterial small subunit ribosomal RNA", at positions 28 to 507 of the family's 1533-position model. The record is from RNAcentral.
GACGAACGCUGGCGGCGUGCUUAACACAUGCCAGUCGAACGGAAAGGCCCUGCUUUUGUGGGGUGCUCGAGUGGCGAACGGGUGAGUAACACGUGAGUAACCUGCCCUUGACUUUGGGAUAACUUCAGGAAACUGGGGCUAAUACCGGAUAGGAGCUCCUGCUGCAUGGUGGGGGUUGGAAAGUUUCGGCGGUUGGGGAUGGACUCGCGGCUUAUCAGCUUGUUGGUGGGGUAGUGGCUUACCAAGGCUUUGACGGGUAGCCGGCCUGAGAGGGUGGACGGCCACAUGGGGCCUGAGAUACGGCGCAGAGUCGUAUGGGGGGCAACAGGGGGGAAUCUUGUACAGCGGGCGGGAGUCGGAUGCAGCAACGCCGCGGUUGGGAUGACGGCCUUCGGGGUGAAAAACGCUUUCGGCUGUGACGAAGCGGUAGUGACGGUAAUGGGUAAAGAAGCACCGGCUAACUACGUG